This 318-nucleotide ribosomal RNA is filed under the name Methylobacterium sp. MA1.13. RNAcentral's name for it is "bacterial SSU rRNA". It matches the Rfam family "Bacterial small subunit ribosomal RNA", at positions 1009 to 1329 of the family's 1533-position model. The record is from RNAcentral. Lineage: Bacteria; Pseudomonadati; Pseudomonadota; Alphaproteobacteria; Hyphomicrobiales; Methylobacteriaceae.
UCACGUCCACUUCGUGGCCCCCACACAGUUGCUCCAUGCCUGUCUUCACCUCGUUUCGUGAGAUGUUGGUUUAAGUCCCGCAACGAGCUCAACCCACGUCCUUAGUUGCCAUCAUUCAGUUGGCCACUCUAGGGAGACUCCCGGUGAUAAGCCGCGAGGAAGGUGUGGAUGACGUCAAGUCCUCAUGGCCCUUACGGGAUGGGCUACACACGUGCUACAAUGGCGGUGACAGUGGUACNCAAAGGAGCGAUCUGGAGCAAAUCCCCAAAAGCCGUCUCAGUUCGGAUUGCACUCUGCACCUUGGGUNCAAAAAGCCGG